RNAcentral lists this ribosomal RNA (470 nucleotides) under uncultured bacterium. Its description in RNAcentral is "partial 16S ribosomal RNA". It matches the Rfam family "Bacterial small subunit ribosomal RNA", at positions 28 to 507 of the family's 1533-position model. The record is from RNAcentral.
GACGAACGCUGGCGGCGUGCUUAACACAUGCAAGUCGAACGGUGAACGAGGGAGCUUGCUCCCUCCGGAUCAGUGGCGAACGGGUGAGUAACACGUGAGCAAUCUGCCCCGAACUCUGGGAUAAGCGUUGGAAACGACGUCUAAUACCGGAUACGACGCGGGAGGGCAUCCUCUCCGCGUGGAAAGAACUUCGGUUCGGGAUGAGCUCGCGGCCUAUCAGCUUGUUGAUGAGGUAACGGCUCACCAAGGCGACGACGGGUAGCCGGCCUGAGAGGGUGACCGGCCACACUGGGACUGAGACACGGCCCAGACUCCUACGGGAGGCAGCAGUGGGGAAUAUUGCACAAUGGGCGCAAGCCUGAUGCAGCAACGCCGCGUGAGGGACGACGGCCUUCGGGUUGUAAACCUCUUUUAGCAGGGAAGAAGCGAAAGUGACGGUACCUGCAGAAAAAGCACCGGCUAACUACGUG